GCUAAAAGUGAACACGUAGGAACAGGCAGUCAGUCCACGCACCACCAGGACAGCUGGCCACCUGCACUAGAAUGACAGAGUGAACCUUGGAGUCAGAAAACGCACCAGCGCUGAGCGGGAGAGUUCUCAAGCCAGGGCAAGCCACUAGAAAGAUAUUUGGAAACAGCAAGAAAGAAAAGCUCUCUGCCCACUUCAGCUGCAGGAAGGCCUUGACACCCAUGUUGGAUUCCUUGGACACCCAUGUUGGAUUCCUUGACACCCUGAAGUCCUCCCUGGGGAGAAACAACAGAGACCACAUCUACCCUUCCCAUGCAGAAUGGCCUCACUUGGCUUCCAGGGAACCAUCCACGUGGGUCCUGGGCUCAGCUGGAAUCCUGGACCACAGCUCCCUCUAAGCCUGGGAAAUGGAAUCUUUAGAAGAAUAUAGGAAUCAAUCUUCCUACCUGCUUAGAACCAAAGAACAACCACACAGAAAUGGAUGGCAACCUACUUAUAAUGUCACGGCCUAUGUUACCUCCACGUUUCCCUACAAGGCAGAGCGUACUGAAGGCAAGUGACAGAGAGAUCAAGUUGCUCAUGAUAGACUGCUAUAAAGUGACCACUAAGUGGGCCGCUUCUAGCUGCUCUCAAGAGCUCAGAAAACAGGUAGUGCCAUAGCUGCUUGAAAAUGUGUGUGAGCUACUGAUUCUCACCUAGACUGGUUUCAGGGCUCACACAGAUAAGAAAUAUGACAAUUUCAGGAGCAAGAAAAUUCAGAGGUGAUUAUGCAAGUGAGAAAAAAAUGCAUUUUUUUCUUUUUUUUUUUUUUUUAUGUGUGUGUGUGUGUGUACAGGGAUUGAACUCAGAAGGCCUUUACCACUGAACCACAUUCCCAGACUUUUUAAAAUUUCUUUAUUUUGAGACAGGGUCUCACUAAGUUGUUCCCUAAUUAGCUGAGGCUUGCCUUAAACAUGAGAUCCUCCUGCCCCAGCCUCCUGAGUUGCUAGGAUUACAGGCAUAUGCCACCAUAUCCCAGUACAGCUUUUGAAAAUAUAAGAUUAACCAACCUCUAACUCCAACGAGGCAGCAGCAGAUCUAGAUUUAUAUUUUGCCUUUGAUACUAACAGUGGGUAUACGAACUUGAGGUUAUUACUUAAUAUUCCUGUGACUACUUUUAAAAAGUACAGAGACAAAGGUAGGCGGGUCCUUCUUUGAACUCAGAAAGAGAACUUCAAAGGGAUCGAAGAAGCAUCCCCAGCCAUGAGUUCCAACCGGAAUGGCACUACCAAGUGUUCCCCAGAGGGCAGAUUGCACUUCUCACACUCGUGACCACCCUUCCCUUCUGGCUUGCCACUCCUGACAGAUUAAUCCUCUAGGAGCGUAAAGCCUCUAAAUCAUUUCUCUCUUCAAAACACACAAUGGUUUUCUGCUGAGCACAAAAUAGGCCGUAACUCUGCAUCCUGGUGUUUAAGGUUUAAAAGAUGGAAAUUACUGGAUUGAGGCAUUAUUAUCCAAACUAGCUUUGGAAUAUAGCCACAUAUUAAUUGGUUCUCUCAAUAAUCUAUUUAAUCACUCAAAAUACAUUCAUUGAAUGUCUCCAAUGUGUCAGUUACUGUGUGAAAUACUAGGGAACAGAGUCAAUGAAGCACAGUCUCUGCCUUCAAAGACUGGCCUCCAGGUGAGCAUGGAGGGCAGAAAUACAGGGGGAAGCCAUCCCACAGGGUGACCGUUGUUAUGACGUAGGUGUGCACAGGAAGUGACAGGAGACAAAUGGAGAAUAUCUAGCAAACCACAGCAGCAUGUGAGAGGGAGCCUGGCCAGGGCCAGAGGUUUGAGGUACAGAAAGGGGGCACCAGUAACCCCAGCUACUCAGGAGGCUGAGACAAAGACGGCAAGUUUGAGGCCAACCUGCCCAACUUAGCAAGACCCUGUCUCAAAAGAAAACAAAACUAAAAGGGCAGUGGUAGAUUGCUUGCUGAGCAUGUAUGAGACGCUGAGUUCAAUUUCCAGUACAGAAAAAAAAAAGAAAGAAAUAAAAAGAAAACAGCAGGGAGCAGGGUGUCAGGUGGGAAGCUGGAUAUUUCUGAGCAGCUAGGUUAUGACAUUUGUAAAACACAGAGGCCGGAGGAUUCUGGAAUGUUUGAGAACGACUUCAUCGUGGCUAGAAUUCAGGACACUAAAGGGACCUGAUAAGAGGAGAAACCCAGGAACACUCUCAGAUAUACAACAUAAAGGCUGCAGCGUGUACGUUGGGUGUCUGAACUCGGUGGUGAAGGUAACAACCAACCAUGCCAUGGCCCCAGCACACAAGCGCUCGUCGGGCUCCUGACACCAAAAUAUUCCAUAGCAAUAUGGAAAUUAAUCUCAGGAGAGGGAUGCUGAAGAAAGAUGGAGAAAUUGAGAUGCUUUCAACUAUAGGAAAGAAACUAAGUCUUGACAAUUCCACUAAGGAUGGAAGAAAGAGGGCUACCUUUCCCUUAGCCCUGGCUCUCGGCAGCCACUGGACCCCUGCACUGCUGAUGGCUUGGGUGCCAAGUAGCUGCUCAGUCCACUCCACUCCAGAGGACACAAGUGCAUCUUUUGUGACUCCCCACUCCUUUCACUACCAAAGUCCCUAAGCCUUAACAUAUAUCAUCUGCACCGCAUUCCUGCCAAGCUUUAACAGGUAAUAAAGGAGGACCGGUGCGAUUUAUAGGACUAACAUAGACUGCUUAGGCACUCCCAUUGCAAGCCUCAAAUCAUCUGACCCCUCCUCCUGCCUACUGAAUUGUGUUAUGAGCAAGCUGUGGUACAGUAUCUCAGAACACUAAUCCCUAUCCCCACAUCAGUCGUGAAAAUAUUAAAUUGAGAAAAAGGUUGGUUUGGGGGUGAGUAGAAGAAAUCACUCAGUUAGAAAGACAGCAGCAAUUGAAGGAACCCAAAACUUUGAGUUAUUUAAUUCCUUAGAGGAAUAAGAAGACCAUCUGUAACUUUUAAAAAUAAAAAGCAUUUUGAACCCAUCACUCAAAUACCAUAGCAAGUCGUACACUAAGUUUAGCAAAAGUAAUUAAUUAAGAAAUCUGUUAGAUGUUGGAAGCUUAUUUUGAAAUAAUAUCAUUAUUUUAUUAUUCUUAAAGGAUAUUGGGAAUCUGAAGUCCAUUUAGAAGUAGGAAUAUAUAUAUAUAUAUAUAUAUAUAUAUAUAUAUAUAUAUAUACUUAUGUGUGUGUAGACAUAUAUGUAUAUGUGCACACACACACACAUACACACACACAUACACACAUACACACACAUACCCAUCAAUUCAGUACUUUACCAGAUAGGACUGGUAUUUGAAAAUGUGUAAUCUUGUAUUGCAGUUGCAUCUAAGGAACUAAGGAGAUACAACUAAGGAUUUCUGAAACCUCAAGUAAAAAGCACAGGUAGACUGGGCUUAGUGACCCAAAGCUGUAAUCCCAGCUACUCAGGAGGUUGAGGCAGGAGGAUCAUGAGUUCAAAGCUAGCUUCAGCAACUUAGCAAGUCCCUAAGCAACUCGGAAGACCCUGUCUCUAAAUAUAUUUAUUACAAAGGGCUGAGGAUUUGGUUCAGUGGCUUAACGCCCCUGGGUUUACUCCCUGGUACUAAAAAGAAUGAAACACGAAAGUGUACCAAUAAAGAAAAAUAAAAUAAAAAACACAAGUACCAGAGAGGUCAUGAACUUCAACUCUUUGUCACCUUUCCACAUGGAAUGUAUAAUUUUAUUCUGAACAACAAAACUUUCCCUCCAUAUUUUCUUGUCAUCAACAGUGAUCUAAGUGCACGUGCACUCUAAUCAACAUAAGUGGUGAGAACAUCAAAUAUGUGGGCUAGAGUCACCUGUGCCUGAGGGCAUGGCACUUGGGUAAGUCCAUGACAGGUGGCUGGACCAAGGAUAGAGCAUUUGUACACUUCCAGGUUAAGACUGGAGGGGUAUUCCUCUGAUAAAGACAGGCACAGGAAAAUGGUGCAGACGUCAGAUAGGCACCUUUUCCACGUCAGAGCUUUAAGCACGAGUCACUCUCCACACUCCCAACUAUGGAUCUAACUUAGAACUUUGCAUUUUGUUUGAUAAUAUGUCUCCUUUCACUUUUUUAUAUUUUCGUUUCUGAAAAGCAUAUCAGAAUCAGAUAGAGGUUGGCAAACUUCCCUGGACAGUUAGCAGGACUCUGCUCAGUCUCCCUUCUACCUGUCUCAGGUAUACGAUCAGAUCAUUUGCCUUAUAUAAUAGACAGAAUGGGCACUCGUAACUGUGAGUUGAAUAAAUGUAUCAAUUAACACAUUAAGUAAUUAAAUUUUUGGCAAAGUGAGAAAGUGUAAAAAUGUAAAUGAAAAUAAGAUAGAAAGAUAGUUAUUUCAUUCCAAGAAGACCCUUCAGCAGUUCAUGGGGUCAACUUGAAGACUUAUCCUACACAUAAGUUCUAAAAUGCAUUGACUGAUUUCCUCAAAGCUGAUCAUAGAGUCUGGAGUCUCAGAUUAUGGAUAUAGUAUGUAAUAUCCUUGUGAUUUCUGCCAUCUUUGGCUAGUCCUGUUGGGGAAGAGCCUCUUUUACAGAAUGGUUUUUCCAGUCUUUGUCCAAAAUUUCACUUAUAUGCUUCUUUGAGUCUAAAAGACUCACUAAAUGAUCAUCACAGACAUGGUCACUCACGGCAGAGUUCCCGAUGGCAGAAGUUCCUUCCACUCUCCAGAUGUUUUUGAGUGAGUUUAUAGUUCACCUUUCCCAUAAGACAUUCCCAUGAGAGGGAGGGCGUCCUAGACUUUGGGUCUUUGAGACACAAAGAUGGCCACUGUGGGACUAUCCAGCUUCUACUCAUGUAAGCCAAACUAAUAAAUCCCCUUUUUAUAAUUAUAUAUAAUACCCACAUAUACGAUGGUCUUGGUGAUUCUGUUCCUCUAUAGACCCUGAUAUACCAAUCAUUAUCAUUAACUCUAAAAAUUUUAAAAGCCACGUUAUCUUCACGGUGACUCCCUAGAAUGAUUGUAUCUGAUACUCAGCACCUUCCUGCACACAUGCCAUGGCUUCCUGGCCCCUCUAAGGGGAGAUGAAGCUCUCACAAGGCUCUAAAUGAAACACCUAAUGGCAGAGCCGGUCUGCUGGCUGCUGUCCAGUGCUCCUGCUCUUCAGCAUGUUUUUGCCAUCACCCAAGGAAGAAAAGCACCUCAUCUCCCGAAUGGUCCGUGGACAUCUGGGAGGCUGAAAGCACUGCAGAAAGCCUGGAAGAAGCACAGCAGAAGCCCCAGAAUGAGAUAGAAUAGGCCCAUGUCCACAGCAGGGAGGGCCACUGCAGAUCCUCUAACUGAUCAUUUGUGCACAUUUUCCUCAAGGGCAACUCAUUGCUCAAGUGGAGGCCUCCUGCCGGGGUCACAGGUGAUCCAAAAUGAACAUCUUUAAUGAGACUGACCCCCUGGUGGGAACACCAGACAGCAAUGGAGCCAAAGCAGGAAAAUACUGCAUGCAUGUGAACUCUCAAUUCUCAGAGCAUCCCAGUGUGGCAGUCCUGUCAGAGUCUCCUUCUCUAGAUGAGGAAACAAGAACAAAAAACUAAGCACGUGCUCAACAUCAUAUAUUGUGUAAUUGGCAGAGUCCCGCAGAAUUCUUCCACUCGCUUCUUUUAUUUCUGAAAAAAAAAAAAAAAAAAAACCCUCCAAAUAGAAUCACAGCUGCAAGAUGCUAUGUAUUGGGUUUGUGUGAUUCAGAAUUUGCCAUCACAAUUGUUCACUCUAGUUUUGUUUGUUUGGUUUUUAAUUUUAUGGGUUUUUCAAACAUAGCCUGAUGGUGUCUAGGAAAAGAAUUCCUAGAGUGUUUUUUUUUACUAUGUUCAAUAAGCAUUAUAAGUAAAAAAAAAUUAAAUGUUAAAAUUUUUAAUUUAUUAUAAUUGAAAUCUCUACUUAUUAAACAAAAUAUUACAAAAGUAGGUAUUGCAAGACUAAGUUCCUCUGACACUCUCAUGUGCUUUGUCCAAGGUCCUUAACAACACUGAAGCGGACUGAGUUCAGAACUUUGGGGUGCUCAUGCGUGUCUCAGGAGCUAACUCUUACUUGGAUAUGAAAGGUCCAUGUCUAAGCUGCUGAGACUGUCAUGUGUACCAGAUUUCCUCACUGGGCUAACGCAGUGCUUUGGAGGGUCUGAGUUUAUUAAUGCUUCAGUUACAAGUAAGGAAAUACAAAGAUAAAGGAACCCAACGUGGCCAGGCCCUGAGGAAGGCACGGCCCAGAGAAAGUGGUGAAAGGAGAGUCGAAGUGCGUGUCCCGGGAGAAAGCUCCUCCACAUUUUGAAGAUUUGUAAGUGACUCUGAAAAUCAAAUUGUGACUUUGAAGUUGAGAAGGAAUUUUUAAUUUGACAGCAACUGUAGCAAGUGAUGGAGGUCAGAGAGCCCAGGUUUGAGCAGGGGACAGGAACAGGUAGAAUGGGCAUCAGAGGUAGAGAAGCAAUCAGGAAUCAAACUGUCAACCCAACUAAACAAUUUGGGAAGUGCGGAGACCCAAGUUAGACACAGACUGUGAAGAAGGAGUUAUCAAAGAGAAGCUAUGGAUUUUUUUUUUCAGGCCUUCUUUUUUGAAAAAAAAAAAUUUAGUUGUAGAUGGACACAAUACCUUUAUUUAUUUAUUUUUGGCGCCGUGCUGAGGAUCGAACCCAGUGCCUCACACUUGCAAGGCAAGUGCUCUACCACUGAGCUCCAACCCCUGCCCUCAGGCCUUCUUUUUGAUAAUUCCUUCUUGAGAUGUGUACAGGUAAAUAAAAACUAUUAAAGCCUUACAUGACUGUCACCCCUAUUAGACCUAUUUUAGGUAUACUUCUGCUACUUUUUUAACCUCUUAAUAAAGUUUGUAUCUUCCAGACUGCAGUACUUGCAUUGGUAAGAUGAAGGUAAGGCAAAGAUCCCAACCCAUAUCAACUGAGAUACAGGUGAUCAGGCAGGCAGAGGCUUCAUUUCCCUGGCUAAGCAAGGUCAUUGCUCCUUGCCAGCUUGAGCAGCCAUGAAAGAUGGAUCUUUUCCCUUCAUCAAUCCUUAGGAAUAAGAGAUUGCAAGUCUUGGGGGCUGGGAAAUGAGAUAGGAACUUGGGAAAACAGAAAAAGAAAGAUAGUAGACUGAGUCUCAAAAGAGAAGCUCUUGUAAGUCAUUGGAAUGCAGAAAUGGAUCUUGGAAAUGCAAAGCAAGCAUUCCUCAGCAACCCAGUCCAAGUCCUUACCCUCCACCCAUGGCCAGUGCCCUGGACCCAUGUCUUUGCAUGCAAAAUGUAAUGUGUUAAUACGUAGGCAAAGGGAAAAAGAAGAACUUUCAGAUAGAGCCCCUAUGGCAGGUUUAAACUUGCUGGAACAAUUGGAUCCUAUUGAACUUAAUUCUUCCCUAUAGGUUAGAGAACGCAGCACUCUAUAGUUAUAUAAAUUAUAACUAACAUUCAUCUAAAGAAAAUUUGUUUGAAACAUGUGAGAUCAUAAGUAUUAAUUGAUGGGUAAAGAUGUUAUGUUGCAAGGCAUUGAGAAAAUUAUAUAAACUACCUGAAGAGAUAAGGUUAGGGGGAAAAAAGACCUUGGUGAAGCAGCAUCAAUUUGAGGGAAAGUAACAGAACAUAUAAUAUAUUCAGGUGAAAAUAGAAUCCACAUUAAGAGUGAUAUCAGUUGUAAUGUCUUCUUAAACAUCUUUUACCUCAGGAUUUCUCCCUUAUUCCUGCUUUUCUAGGAGGUUGCAUCAUGGAUGAAUGUUGACCUUUUUCAAAUAGUUUUUUUUUUCUGCAUCAAUUGAGAAAAUCAUAUUGCUUUUUCCUUUAUUCUGUUAACAUGAUGAAUUAUAUUAAAUCUCAAAAUUCAAACCAACCUUGCAUUCCUGUAAUAAGCCCUUCUGAUCUUGUUUUAUUAUCUGAUAUAUAUGACUUAGAUUUAUCAUUUUAUUGAACUUUUAAAGCCAUAUUUGUAAAGAAUAUUUGCCUUUUGUGUAUCCACUCCCUUUUGUUCCUUUUAUUUCACAAUGUCCAUGCAGCAUUUUAUCAUCAGUGAAAAGAGACUCCUAGUAUGAAUCAAAGGUUUUCAUUGUUCUCCAUUUUCUGAGUUUUUGAAAAGAUAGAACAGUUUUUCUUCCUCAGAGGUUUGAUAGAAUUCACCUGCUAAGCCAUCUGAACCUCAGAAUUUUUUGUACAAACAUUUUCUUUGUGGAUUAUCAAUUGAUGUAUUUCUACAUUAAUACAAUUGAACUUAAGUUUUUCAUUUUAUUAUUAGUUAUUCAUGAUUUAGUUCCUGUGUUUUCCCUCCUUUCAGAGUUUGGAAUUGAACACUUUUACAAUUUCAUUUUAAUUUAUCUACUUUUUAAACUAUACUUUUUAUAUGUUGAUUAUUGCUCUAGUAUGUAAUAUGCAUAUUAAUAUCUAUAAUAUGUGACAUUAUUUAUUUCCUACUCCAGAGUCAGAUUAUAGUUAACAUUGUAACACUUUCUGCAAAACAUAGAAACUUUUCAAUCAUAUAUGUCACACAGGUCCAAUCUCCUCCAUUAUAUCAUAGUUGAAAAAUAUUAUGAGGUUCCUGGUAGGCAUAAGCUUGAGAAAUAAAGAAUACAUUGUGUAUAUGUUACUGUAUCGAUUUUCAGAGAAUUGGUGGUAAUUCCUCCAUUUGACAGAUUCGGGGAGGUAAGCUGAUUUGCCCAACACAAUGUGGUUAGCUACUUGUUGUUGAUGACUCUGAAUCCAACCAUUACCAAGGUUUAAUAUUUGAUAAAAUGCUACAGAAGCAGUAUCUCCUCUGUCAUAAUAGGAAGUGAAGAAUAAAUAAGAAUUCGAACUGUCCAGAGGUGGAGAGAACAGUAAAACAAGGACUACAUCUGCCCACUUGAAUUUCACAAAAUUGUCACAAUAAAACAACAGGGAAUAUAGAUGGUGCCAACUUUCUUUUGCACCUGUGGAAGUGGAAUGUAUUAUUGAAGAAGCAGGGAUACGAAGAAGCAGAAUGGAUCACGGGGAGCACUCUGUCAAGAAGCAAAGUUUCCAAUUGGGUUGCAGCAGCUCCUGAAGCUGCUAAGGCUGAACCUCCUGAGGUUACAAAGUCAGACACAAACAGGGUGAGGAAAGCCAAGUCCCCGGUGUCAUAUAGGACCUCAUGGUCUCAAGGCCUGGCUCCUUCGCAGUCUACCAUUUCUCCGGUAGAUUCUUGGCUGGGCCUCUUGGAGGAUCCUUUCCUGGGCAUCUUUGUUAGCCCUAAAGUAUGAGUUCUGGAAACUCCUGGCUGUGGAGGUUUCUUCUGCCUCUGCUCUCGUGAAAUUGUACUGAGAGUUCACUGGGUAAAUCAUGUGAAUGGAAGCCCUUUGGGAAAGAGAGGAAGUAGAAGAAUAAUCCAAGAGGGUGUCAAGAUGGAUAGAAGGGAGGCCUGAAGUUGAAGACCAGCUGGAAGACAGCUGGGAAAUACAAAGAACUGAUGACCAUCUAUGGAGGAUGCCCUGCAUCUCGGGUGUUCUGUUGAGAUCUUAAUACUAUUACCCAUUGAAAAUCAUGCAAGAAGUGAAGGAAGUGCUCGCUUCGGCAGCACAUAUACUAAAAUUGGAACGAUACAGAGAAGAUUAGCAUGGCCCCUGCGCAAGGAUGACACGCAAAUUCGUGAAGCGUUCCAUAUUUUUCAGACACUAGUAUGGCAAUUUGUAAAUCAAUGGAUGUGUAACUGAUGUGAAUCUGCAAUCUGUGUAUGGGGUGAAGGUGGGAGUUCAUAACCCACUUGAAUCAAAGUGUGGAAUAUGAUAUGUCAAGAAAUUUGUAAUGUUUUGAACAACCCACAAUAAAAAAUUAAAAAAAAAAAAAAGAAGUGAAGGAAAACAGAUUUUAAACAGGGGCAUUACUCGCCAGAUUUUUUCUUCUUAGCCAAAAUAACGUGGUAUUUCUAAAAUACGAGUUGGAUCAUUUUAUUUCUGUGUUUGGAGUUCUCUAUGCUCAUAAAAACUCAGCCUUCUUGUAAUGACACAGAAAUUCAUGAUCAAUUCACUCCAGAACAUAGAACGAGACAUCAUCUAUGAUGGCUAAGUCUACUCAUGAUUUUAAAAAAAGAAUUAAAAGAAUAAAUCACUUUAAGUGAACAAUAAACUAUUAACUCUC
This is a long non-coding RNA of Marmota monax (woodchuck), 10040 nucleotides long. RefSeq lists it as uncharacterized. The transcript has 5 exons. NCBI's taxonomy places the organism in Eukaryota, Metazoa, Chordata, Mammalia, Rodentia, Sciuridae. The record is from RefSeq and is a predicted model, not a curated record.